Molecule: ribosomal RNA, 496 nt
Filed under: uncultured bacterium
Lineage: Bacteria
Description: partial 16S ribosomal RNA
Rfam family: Bacterial small subunit ribosomal RNA
Source: RNAcentral
GAUGAACGCUGGCGGCGUGCCUAAUACAUGCAAGUCGAGCGAACGGACGAGAAGCUUGCUUCUCUGAUGUUAGCGGCGGACGGGUGAGUAACACGUGGAUAACCUACCUAUAAGACUGGGAUAACUUCGGGAAACCGGAGCUAAUACCGGAUGAUAUUUUGAACCGCAUGGUUCAAAAGUGAAAGACGGUCUUGCUGUCACUUAUAGAUGGAUCCGCGCUGCAUUAGCUAGUUGGUAAGGUAAUGGCUUACCAAGGCAACGAUGCAUAGCCGACCUGAGAGGGUGAUCGGCCACACUGGAACUGAGACACGGUCCAGACUCCUACGGGAGGCAGCAGUAGGGAAUCUUCCGCAAUGGGCGAAAGCCUGACGGAGCAACGCCGCGUGAGUGAUGAAGGUCUUCGGAUCGUAAAACUCUGUUAUUAGGGAAGAACAUAUGUGUAAGUAACUGUGCACAUCUUGACGGUACCUAAUCAGAAAGCCACGGCUAACUACGU